CUCAUUCAAAAAAAUCACCAUUCAAAAAAAUCACAUUUGAGCAAUUAGAUGCAAUUGGAGUUCAAAGGAGUGAAAUAUAAAUAUUUUCACUUUAAUAAUUGAAUUUACAAUAGGCAACCAUUGAAAAACAAGUAUUUGUUUGGUACGGAAUGGAAGAAAAACUCCAAAACAUCAAUACUUUUGAUCCACAACCGCAAAACACCACCCAAAUCGAUGAUAAGACACUCCCAACAACAUCCAAAUUUGAUUUUCAGCAACAAACAAUAGUUUCAGCUUUUGGAUUGGAUUCAAACCCCACCCCCCCCCAAAAAAAAAGGGUACACACCCCAAUGCCUCCAUUUCGACCACUUCCAGUCAGAUUUUGGCAAUGAUACCACCGCCAAUGAACUCGAAAGGCCCAAAAACCCUUGGGUGGUGAUCGGCCAGAUUGUCGAAAAAUCAAGAAAUUCGGCCUCUACAGACCUCGCCUGGGGAAAUGUGCCUGAACAAGAAUUAUUUUUUUAUUUAAAAAAAAAAAAAAAAAAAAAAAAAAAAAAAACCCAACAUUGACUGAUGCAAAACUCAAUACUACAUGGUAUCAACUUGGUUGAGCCAAAUGUAAGUUCUCUGAAUUUGAACUUCAAUACUACAUCAAAUGCUAACAAUUUAUCCUUAAAUCCCGAUCCCAGAGUGUUUCUGAAAGAGUAUUGAUGUGAUCCAUGGUGCACUAGAAAUUUUCGAGAACUUGGCACAUGUUGAUGAGCGAUCAAGACCAAGUUCUGAGCUAAGUUGGGGGCUGAUCUGGAUUGAUAAAGCCAGACGAUGUCAUGGUCAAGCUAUGAAUUUCAAAAUGGAAGAAAAAUUGGGCCAGAUUUUUCCAAUUCUCGCAAGUGUUUUAUUUUGGUUAGAAUUUCAUUUUUUUUUUUGGUAAUCUUAUUAUUCUAGGACUCUUAAUUUUCAUCUUUUCCAUAUUUUCUAGGUUUUAGCUUUAGCAUAAAUAGCUUUUAAUUUUCAUUGUAACACUAAGACUUUGAUGAAUUGAUUAACGGAGAUUUUCUCUUUCAAGGCGUGAUGCUUCAAAAAUUAUCGAACUUAUCGGGAUCAUUUUCUUGUGGCGUUCAACAAAACCGGGUGAGAUUUGUAAUCCUUGUAAUUAAGAGGUCGUUAAUUUAAUAUAUUAAUGGUUGCUUAAUUCAUUGCUUGCGUGUUAAAUUCAAAACCAUCGAUUAUUGGCAUUCUUGGGAAUUGUGGCAAUCUAGUUGUGGGUUCGUGAGUGUUCGUUGCUCACGGGUUCGUAUCAGUUGGUAUCAAAGAUUAGGCUCCAAAAAUCAAAGGUUAUAUCCUUUUUUUUAAUUCUUAUUGAGUUAGUUUUUAUUUUUCAUUAUUGUUUUUGGUUUUCUUUGAGUCAGUCAGUAAUUUUAGAGUCUUUUGAUUCAUAAAAAUCACAAAAAAAAAUUUAAAUCUUGUUUUUUGGCUAAUCUAACGUCCAAAUCCUAUUCCAUUUGUUCCGUUAGUGUCAUAGUCGAAUUUUCUAUCUAGUGAGUCAAAAAAAAAAAAAAAUUUACUGUUCAGAAGUCAGAAAAUUAAAAAAUUAAAUUCAUUGUUUGAAUUAUCUUUAUAUUCCUUCUAGUUUCAAGCUAUUCAAUCCAGCCAGUCAGAGAUUCAAGACCACUUCUUGAAUUUUCAUACCUUUUUCCAAAGUUUCUGUCCAAUUCUUUGAGUCUUUAAAAAUUCCCGAGUCUCACCCACAACCCAAUUGAAAACCAAUCAAUAUGUCUGAAAGGAUGAUGCGACAAUUUGAGAAAAUGUUGGUGGAUAUGGUAAAUAGAUUGGAAACUAAGUUAGACAGACUGGAUGUGAAAUUGAAAAAUAUUCAUAGGGAUGAAUGUGAUGGGGUGUUCAAUGUGAGGAGAUGAGAACCUAGGAUGAGAAAUUGUGAUGCAUUUGGGGAUGGUUAUGAUAUUGAUGGAGUACGAGGAUGGAGAAAUAAUUUUGAUGGGUUUGAAAGAAGGCGUAGGAUUGAUCAACGUGAACGGGAUCCUAGAGAGAUACUUAGGAGAUGUUAUGGGGAUGAGUAUUCAAUGGAAAAGAAAAUUCCUUUUACGAAAUUUGCAGGUAGUACACCAAGCAAGAGGACGGGGUUGGAUUAUAGGCGGGAAUUGGUGGAGAUUCGUGACUUGAUAAAUUCUUAAAAUAAUCAUCCGAAGGUGCAAGAGAGUAAAAGUAAAAAAUGUGAGGUGGUUAUUUGUGAGAAAAAAAAAGAAGAUGAGCCACAAGAGAGUGAAAAGAAAGUCGAGGGUGGAAUUGAAAAGGGCGAAGUGGUCAAAAUAGAGGUGGAGUCACGAGAGAAAGAUGAAGAAGAGUCUUUGGAGAUGACCAAGGAAUUGGAAGUGAACUUAAUCGAAAAUGAGAGUGGUGUUGAAGGGGAAUUGGCAAUAACUAAUAAUUUCCUCCCUAUUUUGGACAUUCCAUUUUUGCAGGUUAUUGGAGACUUAGUCCAUGAAGACGAGCCAAUUGGGAUCCCUUACAACCUACAUUGAUAAUCAAUUCAUGGAUAACACUCAACAACAUCUUGGUUUGGAUUUCUCUUAUUUUCCAUUGGUUUAAUUUAUAAUUCCUGAGGAGACGAAGAAGUAUCAAUGGUGUUGGAAUGAAGUCACAUGCAUUGGAUUGAAUGGCAAGGAGUUCAUAUGCAAGGGGUUGGACUACAAAAUUGAUGUGCCAGGGAAUAUGCAUCCAAUUGAAAUAUCAUUGCUAAAAUUGCCCAGGCGAGAGAUGACAUGGAAAAUGCACAACGACUUAUCAAUUGAAAUAAUUCAUGGAGCAUUUCAAAGUUGCAAAAGUAUGCGGUCACGGCGUGAGCACUUGAUCUUUGUGAAGGAGAUUGGGUUUUUAAAUGCAAGGGGAGGAUCCGAGUUCAAAAGAGCUCUAAGUUUCAUCCAAGAUGUGACGGGCCAUUUCAUGUGAUUGCCAUGAUUGGGAAUAAAAGGUAUAUUUUGUUCGAUCAAGAUUUGGAUUUGAGGUCGAAUCCUUUCAAAGACAGAGGGAAUGCUAUGAUCCAAGGUGCACUAGAAAUUUUCGAGAACUUGGCGCAUGUUGAUGAGCGAUCGGGAUCAAGUUUUGAGCUAAGUUGGGGGCUAAUCUUGAUUGAUAAAGCUAGAUGAUGUCAUGGUCAAGCUAUGAAUUUUAAAAUAGAAGAAAAAUUGGGCCAGAUUUUUACAAUUCUUGCGAGUCUUUUAUUUUGGUUAGAAUUUCUUAUCUUUGGCAAUCUUAUUAUUCUAGGACUUUUAAUUUUUAUCUUUUCCAUAUUUUCUAGGUUUUAGCUUUAGUAUAAAUAGCUUUUAAUAUUCAUUGUAACAUUAAGACUUUGAUGAAUUUUUCGAGACAUGAUGCUUCAAAAUUACCGAACUUAUCGGGAUGAUUUUCUCAUGACGUUCAACAAACCCAAGUGAGAUUCGUAAUCCUUGUAAUUAAGAGGUCGUUAAUUUAAUAUAUUAAUGGUUGCUUAAUUCAUUGCUUGCGUGUUAAAUCCAAAACCGUCGAUUAUUAGCGUUCUUGGGAACUGUGGCAAUCUAGUUAUGGGUUCGUGAGUGUUCGUUGCUCAUGGGCUCACAAUUAAUAUAUUAUAUUAACGACCUCUUAAUUACAAGGACUACGAAUCUCACCCAGGUUUGUUGAACGCUACGAGAAAAUCAUCACGAUAAGCUCGAUAAUUUUUGAAGCAUCACGCCUCGAAAGAGAAAAUCUCCAUUAAUCAAUCCAUCAAAGUCUUAAUGUUACAAUGAAUAUUAAAAGCUAUUUAUACUAAAGCUAAAACCUAGAAAAUAUGGAAAAGACGAAAAUUAAGAGUCCUAGAAUAAUAAGAUUACCAAAAACAAGAAAUUCUAACCAAAAUAAAACACUCGCGAGAAUUUGAAAAAUCUGGCCCGAUUUUUCUUCCAUUUUGAAAUUCAUAGCUUGACCAUGACAUCUUCUAGCUUUAUCAAUCCAGAUCAGCCCCCAACUUAGCUCAAAACUUGGUCUCGAUCGCUCGUCAACAUGCGCCAAGUUCUUGAAAAUUUCUAGUGCACCUUGGAUCACAUCAAGUAUGCUAUGCUCAGUUGUCUCGGAUUCUAAACUGUAUUACCAGCAAGAUUGGCUACUUAUUUGGCCACAUCAUUCAUAUAUGUUACGGUUGGGCAAUGAUCAAGAACAUGGAAUUGGUCAUUCCUGUACUUCUCUAAUCUUUGAUCACUAACAGAAUUUUAUGUCUAUUAUGGUCGAAUCAAGUGUCAACAAAUUAACCUUAUUAAAGGUCAUAAUCAAACUUAAAAAUUGAAACAAUGCUAGCAUAUAUGGUACGCUCAAUUUCAAGGACCUAACCUGAAACAUGUAGCACAAACCUGGAUAAAAAUUUAGAAACACGGAGGAAGAAAAGAGAUUUUACUCUUUUUUUUUUUAAUCAUCCGAGCCUUAUUCAAUACAAUGUACAACUGCUAUGAAAUCCUCUUUUAUUCAACAUAAUAUUUGCGCUUAUGCAACCAUGUGAGUUUACAUUUACUCCCAAAGAGUUUCAAUUAAUAGGUGUAGUGCCGAAAAUGAGAUAUUGUGAAUUAAAUGCAAUAAAAAUAUUAUUAAAGUAGGCUGAUUUAUUAAUAUUUAUAGGAAAACGAAAAAUAAACUAAUAGAAAAAUCAAUUAAUUAAGCAUAUUGUUGGAUAUAUUUGGUCAAAAAUAAAAAAGAAGAGUUUGGUAUUCCUUGGAAACAUCCAUAAUCAAUCUGAACAUGACAUAGUUCCUCUGAUAGUUUCCUUGAACGAGUAAUUAAAGGCAAAUGACAGUAUAUAGCAACAACAGUAAUAUAUGUGUUAUGGAUAGAUGUGAGAUAUAUGGUAAAUAAUUAAACUAUAGUCAAGUUAAAAAUAGCAUGUGUAGAAGAUAUAAAACAAAAGUACGUUUAUAGUUGUGUUGCCAAGUAGUCAAUUUAAUGUUCAAAGAAUUUAUUUGGAUUGAAAAUGAAAAGAAUCAUCAACUUUUUUCAUAAUAUUUCUUCUUGAAAAAACUCUAUUACCAAAGGACCUACCCAGAAGAGCUCUAUUCAUAAUAGUUAUGUCAAAACGGACUCUUAGUUCUUUCAUUUCUAUGACUAUUAGAACCCCAAUAUAGCUUUAAAGAAUUCAAUAAUCAAUAUUUCUACUUGAGAUCUUUGAAAAAUGGGAUAAAUAGAUUUGAGUUUUUAGUCGGGAGUGAUCCAUAUUAAUGAGUUGGAAUCAAUUAUCAAUAGAGGAGAGCAACAUGCCACCAAUGGUUGUUAUGGUGAACUUGGUGCUACAUGCACAGAUAGCUUAGUGAGAAAGGAAAAUGAGAAUAGGUAUAUAAACAAGGACAUAAGCAAAUAUUUUAGACACGAAUGGUUUUAUUUGUACAAGUUUCUUCGAUAUCAUCGAAAAGAAAUACACUUAUUCUUGGUAAAGGAUUUUCUUAUCCCACAGUACCCAACGAGGCAAAAUAGAGAUAAUAUUACUCAGCGGUACAGAAUCCAGGAUGAUGCUGGUUUGCCUAUUUGUCUGAUUAGUUAAACAAGAAAAUGACUCUGGCUGAUAUUUCAGUGAUAUGUUCCAGGAGUAAUUAAUCAGCUAUUUUUUGGCCAUAGUUUUCUAACGAUAAGAGGGGAAGAUGCAGUCUAAAUGUAUUAGAAAGGAACAAGAAUGCCAAACCUUCGGAAACAUGAGCUAGGAGCUUUUUCCUGAUUGCUUCUCAUGAUCUCUCCAGGGAUUUAGAGCUUCUCUAACAGCCUGAACUUCGGGAAAAUUCUCCCAAGCCCUCUUCUCCGACUCAAGAACUGUCUCUUUAUCAUCUGCUCAAAUCCAAAUAUAAAGGCAAAUGAGGAUAUAAACCAGAGUUAUAAUACUCUCUAAAAACCAAAAAAUGAAUACGAACGUGACAAAAGAAGCAUAUCGCGAUUACAGAAAUUUAAGAUGAUUAAAAUGAUAAUGUAAGCUCAUGAUGAAACUGUAUAUGGCGAGGAUGACUACCAUAGGAAAGCCCGCCCCUCCUAGAGACUCAUUGAUGUGAACCCAGCUAGCAAGAUUGCUAUCUAACCCACAGAUAUUUACACCAGAUCCCAAGAAUGUCCAAAUACGACCAAGGUUUAAUUUAGGAAUCGACCCUAAAUGAUGAACCAAGCAACCAAACAUAUAUGAAAC
Molecule: long non-coding RNA, 6163 nt
Filed under: Olea europaea (common olive)
Lineage: Eukaryota; Viridiplantae; Streptophyta; Magnoliopsida; Lamiales; Oleaceae
Description: long non-coding RNA (OEUR_LNC014205)
Source: RNAcentral